RNAcentral lists this transfer RNA (66 nucleotides) under Dalcantha dilatata. RNAcentral's name for it is "tRNA-Ser". Lineage: Eukaryota; Metazoa; Arthropoda; Insecta; Hemiptera; Tessaratomidae. The record is from RNAcentral.
AGUCAAUAAGUUAUAAUAACACUUACCUUGAAAGUAAAAAAAGAGAAAUAAAAAUCUCAUUGACUU